This 468-nucleotide ribosomal RNA is filed under the name uncultured bacterium. RNAcentral's name for it is "partial 16S ribosomal RNA". It matches the Rfam family "Bacterial small subunit ribosomal RNA", at positions 28 to 507 of the family's 1533-position model. The record is from RNAcentral.
GACGAACGCUGGCGGCGUGCUUAACACAUGCAAGUCGAACGGAAAGGCCCUGCUUUUGUGGGGUGCUCGAGUGGCGAACGGGUGAGUAACACGUGAGUAACCUGCCCUUGACUUUGGGAUAACUUCAGGAAACUGGGGCUAAUACCGGAUAGGAGCUCCUGCUGCAUGGUGGGGGUUGGAAAGUUUCGGCGGUUGGGGAUGGACUCGCGGCUUAUCAGCUUGUUGGUGGGGUAGUGGCUUACCGAGGCUUUGACGGGUAGCCGGCCUGAGAGGGUGACCGGCCACAUUGGGACUGAGAUACGGCCCAGACUCCUACGGGAGGCAGCAGUGGGGAAUAUUGCACAAUGGGCGGAAGCCUGAUGCAGCAACGCCGCGUGCGGGAUGACGGUCUUCGGGUUGUAAACCGCUUUCGCCUGUGACGAAGCGUGAGUGACGGUAAUGGGUAAAGAAGCACCGGCUAACUACGUG